AACGAACGCUGGCGGCAUGCCUAACACAUGCAAGUCGAACGAAGGCUUCGGACUUAGUGGCGCAUGGGUGUGUAACGCGUGGGAAUCUGCCCUUUGCCUCGGAAUAACAGUUAGAAAUGACUGCUAAUACCGGAUGAUGUCGCCAGACAAAAGAUUGAUCGGCAAAGGAUGAGCCCGCGUGGUAUUAGCUAGUUGGUGGGGUAAGGGCCUAUCAAGGCGACGAUCCUUAGCUGGUUAGUGAGGAAGGUCAGCCACACUGAGACUGAGACACGGCCCAGACUCCUACGGGAGGCAGCAGUGGGGAAUAUUGGACUAUGGGCGAAAGCCUGAUCCACCAAGGCCGCGAGAGUGAUUAAGUCCUGAGGGUUGUAAAGCUCUUUUACCCGGGAUGAUAAUGACAGUACCGAGAGAAUAAGCACCGGCUAACUCCGUG
This 433-nucleotide ribosomal RNA is filed under the name uncultured bacterium. RNAcentral's name for it is "partial 16S ribosomal RNA". It matches the Rfam family "Bacterial small subunit ribosomal RNA", at positions 29 to 507 of the family's 1533-position model. The record is from RNAcentral.